UUUAAACGUUCAUCAUGUGGCAGAGUGUUUCACUCAUGGAUAACAACGAAAAGUGCCGAUAUCGAUUCAUUUGUUUCAUCUUUUUUUAUUGCCUUAUCUUAUUGCCAUUUAAUUGUUUUGUGAUGUAUCAGUUGAUACAAAUUAGCUUUUGUAUUGAAUGUUAUAUGACCGACUAUUGCACGAUGGAAAAAUUUAUUGUACGAAACAACCAUUGAUCAACUGUAACAAAAUAAUGUUGGACUGCAGAGAGUUAACUGACUAUAUAUUUCCUCGAUAUUGUAUUAAAAGUUUUUAGAUUAUUCGACAAUUAUUUAUUUGGUGCAUCUAUCUGUUUCAAAGUAAAACCACAACACUCUGAUGGAAACCCACAAACUACGCAGAUACAUUUAUUCGGAAAAUAUAACGGAAAAUAUGAACUUCAGCAAAAGUUCGCAUAUAUAAAAGUUAUAAUUACAUCAAUAAUAAAACCAAAUUUGCAAUCUCUCUAUUUUGAUGAUUUGAUGCGGAUCAUUUAUCAGUUACCUCAAUGCGACAUUUUGACGAAAGAAGACGAAAAAUUGGCAAUAAAAUAAAGAACUGUUGCAUGUAUGUAUCACCUAUAUUUCAGCUCUUGUCGUCAAUUAAUACAACAAAAUUGUACUUUAUCACUCUCCACCAUAUGUUCUCGUUUAACUUUUUUAGUUUCUUCUAGUUCUAAAUUGUAAUGAUAAUAGAACAAUAAUAAUAGGUCAAU
This is a long non-coding RNA of Linepithema humile (Argentine ant), 733 nucleotides long. RefSeq lists it as uncharacterized. Lineage: Eukaryota; Metazoa; Arthropoda; Insecta; Hymenoptera; Formicidae. The record is from RefSeq and is a predicted model, not a curated record.